Molecule: ribosomal RNA, 497 nt
Filed under: uncultured bacterium
Lineage: Bacteria
Description: partial 16S ribosomal RNA
Rfam family: Bacterial small subunit ribosomal RNA
Source: RNAcentral
GACGAACGCUGGCGGCGUGCCUAAUACAUGCAAGUAGAACGCUGAAGCGAGGAGCUUGCUCUUCUUGGAUGAGUUGCGAACGGGUGAGUAACGCGUAGGUAACCUGCCUUGUAGCGGGGGAUAACUAUUGGAAACGAUAGCUAAUACCGCAUAACAAUGGAUGACACAUGUCAUUUAUUUGAAAGGGGCAAUUGCUCCACUACAAGAUGGACCUGCGUUUUAUUAGCUAGUAGGUGAGGUAAUGGCUCACCUAGGCGACGAUACAUAGCCGACCUGAGAGGGUGAUCGGCCACACUGGGACUGAGACACGGCCCAGACUCCUACGGGAGGCAGCAGGAGGGAAUCUUCGGAAAUGGGGGCAACCCUGACCGAGCAACGCCGCGUGAGUGAAGAAGGUUUUCGGAUCGUAAAGCUCUGUUGUAAGUCAAGAACGGGUGUGAGAGUGGAAAGUUCACACUGUGACGGUAGCUUACCAGAAAGGGACGGCUAACUACGUG